UCCAUUGGCUGCAGAGCCUGGAAACGGCGUUCGCGCUUCCGAGGGAGCCGCCUCCCUGCUCAAAGUGGCGCGGGAGGGCGUGGCCCCCUCGGAAGUCUUCCCUCUCCUCCCAUCUGGCCGCAGGCUUUGUAACUGAAGGAUGCUUUGACAACACAAAGCAGAGCCCAGCUCCGUGAGGUUUACUGGUUCGUUCUGCGGUCCGUUUGCUUGGUGUAGUUCUCAGAAUGGGUCUUUAACCACUAAUCUUAGACACUCUAAUACGGAAGGAAGUAAGGGAUGAAAAGAGAGAAAAGAAAUAUGUCAGUGAACAGAAUAGUGAGAGACUAGGAAAGCCAGCUCCGUAUGCCCUUCAUAGAGUCAUCAUUGGAGAGAGUGAGUCCAUCAUGACAGGGCGGAGGCAGCAGGCAGGCAUGGUGGCUACAGAAGGAUGCAGGACCGAGCAGGAGAGAAACUUCUGUCAACAUGAUACUCAGAGACAGACAAUGAACCUCUGGACCUAAGAAGAACUCAGUCCGACUGUGCUCACAGUAGCAGACAUGGGCUGACCAACUCAGCUACUGUCCAAGCCCAGAUCCAGAGCUUUAGUGGGUCCACACAACAUUUACUCCAUCUGUGACCUGCUGGAGUGUACAAAGGAGCUGAUCCUGUAAACCAGAUGUCAUUGCUGAAGAGGACCAGCCAGCCCCCAGCAUGGAGCUGCUGUGGCUCCAGCCUAUGCUGCUUGCCCUGCUGGGAGAUGGAAAUCAAGGGGCACUGGUGCUGCCUGGAGUCUACAAGCACAGAGGGUGAGCCUCAGAGAACCCGACAUCGAGGACAGGGAGGUGUGUGGCAGCCUGGAGCUUGAUUGGAACCCGCCCCCAGGCCCUCUGCCUAGCCUAAACAUCAUCCUGACUCUGAGCAGGAUAUCUGAGAGGAGUCUCAGCAAUAGUCCAGUCUUUAUGGUGCUUCAGAAACUAGACUCCUUGAACCAGACCAAUGACUUGUUGCUGUUCAGUUGGAACCUCCAGCUUGCCCAUGCAUGAUCCAGAAAACCCCAUUCCUGUCUCUGUCUCCAAACCCCAUUCCCUCAGAGUCUUUGAGCAAAGGAAAGGCGCCAAAAGCCCUGUUGCUCUUUCUUGGUGGCUACUGCAGCUUUCUUCCCUGAAGCUGACAGCCACCAAGUCCCCACUAAAGCACUCAGGUGUUCACCACACUUGGGCACAAACCCAGAUUGUGGCAGGCAUGUUAUUACCCCUCACCUGCAAUCUAAAGUCUUCCUGCUCUCAACCUAUAAAGUCUCCGUGCCUUCCUUUGUGGGCACAGCUUCUCUGCCCUCUAUCUCUGGUACUGGAGAACCCGUCAGAGGCUACUUGGCUCAAAUA
Molecule: long non-coding RNA, 1361 nt
Organism: Mesocricetus auratus (golden hamster)
Lineage: Eukaryota; Metazoa; Chordata; Mammalia; Rodentia; Cricetidae
Exons: 4
Source: RefSeq, a predicted model, not a curated record